Molecule: unclassified non-coding RNA, 1110 nt
Filed under: Leishmania donovani
Lineage: Eukaryota; Euglenozoa; Kinetoplastea; Trypanosomatida; Trypanosomatidae
Description: gene:LdHU3.32.1970(CDS-product:rRNA_processing_pu tative)
Source: RNAcentral
UCUACAGCCCUACCCCGGCAAACACACAGACGCUAAUAUUAUUUGGCUUCUCCUGAAGAAGGGCACAGCUACACCGCCUUGUAGAUUCAACUUGCACCGCCACUUCUGGAAGGGAGCAUGAGUGAGGGGGGAAAGCGCCGCAAGGUGUACGGCUUCAAGGCUGAGCGCCAAGCCUUCUUUUCGAAAAAUAUCCGCCGGGCUUUCUUCGAGGAGGGUCGGCAAAAAAAGGAUGAGGAGCGCGCUCGCAUGGAGGCCUACCGAAAACUAUGCAAGGAGGAGGGGAUUGUGUCGAAGCGACUCGAGGACUACGACCGCACGCGCAAGGCGGCCAAGGAAAAUCUGAGCAGCACUCUUGAGCAAGUCGACUAUGACCAGAGUCUCACGAACAACGAAAAAAAGAAGCGUAAGUACAACCUGAAGCGCAAGUUCGCGGCGACGACGGUCAACGACCUCAUUGACAAGCAGCAGAAGCGCUACAGCGCUGUCUCUGGAAUGGAGGAGGUACAGCGCAGGCGCCAACAAGAGCGAGAGGAGAAGCAGAAGGCGCGCCAGGAGCGCGAGCGACAGAAGCAGUCGCGCGUACAAGCACGCAAGUCGCGCAACGCGCUCUUUGCCAAGCGGACCAAGAAGGGGCAGCCGGUUAUGUCGAGCCGUGUGGAGUCUCUUCUGCAGAAGAUCAGCCGGCAAUAAGGGGCAGCUGUCGGUAAUCGUGGUUGUAACGAGCGUUGAAAAAAAAAAAGACAGCUCGCAAGGACGCUACACACACACACACGCAGACCGGCACGCAGGCUUUUCACAAACGUCACCGUGAAAAUGCCCCCCUCUGAGGGCAGCUGGCCUUUUCCGAACACCCCCCCUUUCCGCUUCCCCUUCCCUUUCCCGGCGGCACCGCGCUCUGCUGUGCUACUCCUCUGUCCAACCUUUAGUGCGCCUUUUUUUCGUUUUUUUUUCGAGUUGGAUGAUCACAUCGUGGUUGUACACGACAUCAUGGCCGCCAUUCUUGUCCUCACUCUUGUCCCUUCCCCUCCCCGUUCCUUUCUCAUGCCCAUGCUGAACGUGCACACGAUCCCGCCCCCUUUGGUAUCGUCUUUGUCGUCUGGCCGCUCCAAG